GAGUUUGAUCAUGGCUCAGAUUGAACGCUGGCGGCAUGCCUUACACAUGCAAGUCGAGCGGCAGCGCGGGGGCAACCCUGGCGGCGAGCGGCGAACGGGUGAGUAAUACAUCGGAACGUGUCCAGUAGCGGGGGAUAACCUGUCGAAAGAUAGGCUAAUACCGCAUACGACCUACGGGUGAAAGCGGGGGACCGCAAGGCCUCGCACUAUUGGAGCGGCCGAUGUCGGAUUAGCUAGUUGGCGGGGUAAAAGCCCACCAAGGCGACGAUCCGUAGCUGGUCUGAGAGGACGAUCAGCCACACUGGAACUGAGACACGGUCCAGACUCCUACGGGAGGCAGCAGUGGGGAAUUUUGGACAAUGGGGGCAACCCUGAUCCAGCCAUGCCGCGUGAGUGAAGAAGGCCUUCGGUUGUAA
This 416-nucleotide ribosomal RNA is filed under the name uncultured beta proteobacterium. RNAcentral's name for it is "bacterial SSU rRNA". It matches the Rfam family "Bacterial small subunit ribosomal RNA", at positions 9 to 428 of the family's 1533-position model. The record is from RNAcentral. Lineage: Bacteria; Pseudomonadati; Pseudomonadota; Betaproteobacteria.